AUGGAUCAGGACAUACGUCUUGUUUUUCCAGAAGUUCGAAAAUGUAUUGCGCGUAUUUCCUUUUGUCGGGAGGGCGAGACAAAGGAGUUGAGGCAUAUGGUAAUUCCUGGAAUCGUCGUUGCAGUUGAUACGGAUGGAUCGGCUACGAUAGUUGCAAACCCUGUGUUUUUUAAGAUGUGCCCUGAAUUCAAAUUGAGUUUUCCAAAUGAUACUGCCGCCGGUUAUGAAAAAGAACGGAAGCUUUUCUCCACUAUGGUGGAUUAUCGCGACAAAUUUUGUACAUUUAAGCUGAAACCGGAAGUAAAUGGAUUUGUGCAACCAGCAAAGAUUGAGACUAAGCCCUUGAAAGCUGCUGAUUAUGCUGAUGCCUUCAUAUUUCCACGGAAAGACUUUAUUACACCAGCUGCUUAUUGCAAAGGGGGUGUCGUGAAUGGAACAGAAGCAAAAACAGAAGUUAUGCUUGAGAGUGCAUCUCAUGAGUAUGCAUAUCUGGGGUCACCAAUAUUCAAUAGGAAUGGUGCCCUCGUUGGAAUUAGUUAUGCUGAUAUUGGUUGUUUGAUCGCGUGGACAACGCAGGAAUUACGUGAUGAUGUGCUUAAACAUCUGAGUGGCAUUUCGUAUGUCUCGGAUGGAAUUCCAGUGGAACAAGCCCCUGUGCAGCAAAAUUAA
Molecule: ribosomal RNA, 669 nt
Filed under: Triticum aestivum (bread wheat)
Lineage: Eukaryota; Viridiplantae; Streptophyta; Magnoliopsida; Poales; Poaceae
Description: partial small subunit ribosomal RNA
Source: RNAcentral